Long non-coding RNA from Panicum virgatum (switchgrass), 809 nucleotides. RefSeq lists it as uncharacterized. The transcript has 4 exons. The record is from RefSeq and is a predicted model, not a curated record. NCBI's taxonomy places the organism in Eukaryota, Viridiplantae, Streptophyta, Magnoliopsida, Poales, Poaceae.
UUUGAUACAAAUGAGUUUCAGUUGAAAAGUACAGCGUCAAAUUACAAAUUUGGCAAAAAAAGGUCAGGCUACCAAUCAAGUUCUGGAACUUCCAUUAGAGAACUGUAUAUAUGAUAGGAUCAGUGCCGAAGGGACAGAAGGUAUAACACUUGUUGAGAUUGGCAAACGUCUUGGACACAACAAUUCCAAAAGGCUCCACAAACGAGUAUCAUCCAUGCUCAAAAACUUCAAUCCAACUUGUGAAGCAGAAGUUCCAGACAAGACAUCAUAGUACCAAGUUUGGACUUAAAAAAACUUCUCACUCUACAAAGCUGGUACUGCUCUGCAAAAUUUUGGGGUGCUAUCAGAAGAUUGUGAUGGUGGUUCGGAUUUGUGGUCCCUAGUUCCAUCGAAAGAAUUGGAUCCUUCUAUCCCACACGACAGUUUACUCUUGCUUGAACAAGAGAGCCACGAUGAACCAAUUGGACAUCAUAUCCAGAACGACCUUGACGCUUCUGCUGGAGCUUGUCAAUUAGUUGAAGAAGGAAGAUCUUAUCCAUCAGAUGGAUGUAUUGAAUCCUCAGACUUGCCGGACCCUGUUGGAGAAGUUGGCACUCGAUGGGCACCUUCACGUUCGGGUGUUUGAAGAGCCUGUGCCUACAGCUCCGACCAUGCAGCGGGCCCUGUUCAAGCAAGACCCCAGUAAAGAACCAGCCAAAUGUAGAAAGCGGUAUACUUCGCUAAUCCAAUGAGCACAUCCCAGGGGAAAUUUAAAUAUUUGCCAUCUUUACGGAUGGCACUAGUCCAGAUGCCGGUCUUAGAAACGCUCC